Molecule: long non-coding RNA, 313 nt
Organism: Drosophila innubila
Lineage: Eukaryota; Metazoa; Arthropoda; Insecta; Diptera; Drosophilidae
Exons: 2
Source: RefSeq, a predicted model, not a curated record
CAUCAGCAACAUGGUUCUAACUAAAAAUAUUCUAUUCAUAGGGUUUUGUCUGUGGUUGAUUUUUGAUCUAACCUACAGCAAUGUGCAAAUAAUCCGACUGAAAGGCGAUAAAAAAUCGCAAAAUAUAUUUAUUAAUAUAUCGGGCAGCAAUACAGGCUCUAUUUGUAUAAGGUGUCGUCAACAGAUUAAAAUAUUACUUAAACGACAUCGAAAUUUGUCAGAUUUAAAAACUAAUUCUUAAGCUUCAUGUUCAUUAUUACCCCCAUCCUUCAAAUAAGUCUUACGAAAUAUGCUUAGAUAAGUUCAACUUCAA